AUUUCCCAAUUUUUUGUCGGCGUUCCCUUUACCGCACAAAUGGAUAAUCUGAUACUUCUCUAAUAGUGAUGACAAAUUUUCACGAAGCGCAUCAUUAAUAAUAACGGAACCUAAGCUUCCUCCCAUGACAAGCAGUACUUUUUUUUCGGCUGUAAAUCCACAUAACGCCAAGC
Molecule: non-coding RNA, 173 nt
Filed under: Solibacillus silvestris StLB046
Lineage: Bacteria; Bacillati; Bacillota; Bacilli; Caryophanales; Caryophanaceae
Description: Staphylococcus sRNA 414
Rfam family: Staphylococcus sRNA 414
About the family: Antisense of an annotated CDS (SAOUHSC_1422) but was considered an trans-encoded sRNA rather than a typical antisense RNA. Target prediction revealed enrichment of iron-coding genes and genes with function in cofator metabolism.
Source: Rfam by way of RNAcentral